RNAcentral lists this ribosomal RNA (468 nucleotides) under uncultured bacterium. RNAcentral's name for it is "partial 16S ribosomal RNA". It matches the Rfam family "Bacterial small subunit ribosomal RNA", at positions 30 to 507 of the family's 1533-position model. The record is from RNAcentral.
AGCGAACGCUGGCGGCAGGCUUAACACAUGCAAGUCGAACGGAAGCACCGUGCUUGUUUGCUCUUCUGGGGGGCCAGAGGGGGAAGUGACACGUAAAUAACCGAACCUUCACUUUGGUGGGGCUUCAGGAAGCGGAAGCUAAUCCCAUAUAGGAUCUCCUGCUGCAUGGUGGGCGGGGGAUAGUUUCGGCGGUUGGGAAUGGACGCGCCGCUUAUGGGCUUGUUGGUGGGGUAGUGGCUGACCAAGGCUGUGACGGGUAGCCGGCCUGAGAGGGUGAACGGCCACAUUGGGACUGCGAUACGGCCCAGACUGCUAUGGGAGGCAGCAGUGGGGAAUAUUGUACAAUGGGAGGAAGCGUGAUGAGGAAACGCCGCGUGUGGGAAGACCGUCUGCGGGUUGUAAAAAGCUUUAGCUUGAGACGCAGCGUGAGUGACGGUACCGGGAGAAGAAGCACCGGCUAACUACGUG